RNAcentral lists this ribosomal RNA (502 nucleotides) under uncultured bacterium. RNAcentral's name for it is "partial 16S ribosomal RNA". It matches the Rfam family "Bacterial small subunit ribosomal RNA", at positions 28 to 523 of the family's 1533-position model. The record is from RNAcentral.
GAUGAACGCUAGCGGCAGGCCUAACACAUGCAAGUCGAGGGGCAGCACAGAAACAGCAAUGUUUUGGUGGCGACCGGCGGACGGGUGCGUAACGCGUAUGCAACCUACCUUUAACAGGGGGAUAACGGAGAGAAAUUUCCACUAAUACCCCAUAACAUCGAUCAAGGCAUCUUGAUUGGUUGAAAACUCCGGUGGUUAAAGAUGGGCAUGCGUUGUGUUAGGUAGUUGGUGAGGUAAUGGCUCACCAAGCCUACGAUACAUAGGGGGACUGGUAGGUUAGCCCCCCACACUGGUACUGAGACACGGACCAGACUCCUACGGGAGGCAGCAGUGAGGAAUAUUGGUCAAUGGGGGCAACCCUGAACCAGCCAUGCCGCGUGCAGGAAGACGGCUCUAUGAGUUGUAAACUGCUUUUAAACAGGGAUAAAGCACAGUAUGUAUACUGUGUUGAAGGUACUGUAAGAAUAAGGAUCGGCUAACUCCGUGCCAGCAGCCGCCGUAA